Molecule: transfer RNA, 72 nt
Filed under: Acidovorax soli
Lineage: Bacteria; Pseudomonadati; Pseudomonadota; Betaproteobacteria; Burkholderiales; Comamonadaceae
Description: tRNA-Arg
Rfam family: tRNA
About the family: Transfer RNA (tRNA) molecules are approximately 80 nucleotides in length.
Source: RNAcentral
UCCGGGGUAGUUCAUCGGCAGAACGCUUGGCUCCGGACCGAGAGGGAGCUGGUUCGACUCCAGCCCCCGGAU